This 72-nucleotide transfer RNA is filed under the name Ovis aries (sheep). It matches the Rfam family "tRNA". From Rfam's summary of the family: Transfer RNA (tRNA) molecules are approximately 80 nucleotides in length. Lineage: Eukaryota; Metazoa; Chordata; Mammalia; Artiodactyla; Bovidae. The record is from Rfam by way of RNAcentral.
UCCAUAGAGUCUCAGAUGGUAAAGAAUCUGCCUGCAAUGCAGGUGACCUGGGUUCGAUACCUGGAUCUGGAA